This 459-nucleotide ribosomal RNA is filed under the name Globigerina bulloides. RNAcentral describes it as "bacterial SSU rRNA". It matches the Rfam family "Eukaryotic small subunit ribosomal RNA", at positions 1181 to 1460 of the family's 1831-position model. Lineage: Eukaryota; Foraminifera; Rotaliida; Globigerinidae. The record is from RNAcentral.
GUAUGUGGCUUAAUUUGACUCAACGCGGAAAAGCUUAUCUGGUCCGGACGCAGUGAGGAUUGACAGACAGUUUCAGGAGUGGUUCUUGGUAAACAAUUGAGAGAGUUGAAGUUCUUUCAUGAUCUUGUGAGAGGUGGUGCAUGGCCGUUCUUAGUUCGUGUAGUGAUAUGUCUGCCUAAUCGCGUCACGAUAACCUAUUGGUCGACAACCCAAUUAUCACAACUGCAGCAUAACUCCCCUUGGGUGGGCGAGGCUCUGUGUAGGAUAGACCUCUGAACAGUACGCAACGAACGCGAUCGUAAUCCCUUGUUGAGUGGCCAUCCUGUAAGCUGCUGGAUUAGGAACCCAGUGGUAUUAUCUCAGCCACAGAUUUUCUGGUUGUAAUGGGCCAGUUUUGAAACUCGGGGAACAUCUGUGACUUUCUUUCUUAACGCAGAGGAAGGUUAUGGCAAUAACAGG